CGCCUUGCCAGCCCGCUCAGAAACUUAAAGGAAUUGACGGGGCCCGGCACAAGCGGAGGAGCAUGUGGUUAAUUUCGAUGAUACGCGAGGAACCUUACCUGGGCUCGAACGUAAGAUGACUGUAGGUGAAAGCUUACAUCUCUUCGGAGCAUUUUACGAGGUGCUGCAUGGUUGUCGUCAGCUCGUGCCGUGAGGUGUCGGGUUAAGUCCCAUAACGAGCGCAACCCCUACCUUUAGUUGCCAUCAGGUUAAGCUGGGGACUCUAAAGGAACUGCCUACGCAAGUAGUGAGGAAGGCGGGGAUGACGUCAAAUCAGCACGGCCCUUACGUCCAGGGCUACACACGUGCUACAAUGGCCGAUACAGAGGGCAGCUACCUGGUGACAGGAUGCAAAUCUCCAAAGUCGGUCUCAGUUCGGAUCGGAGUCUGCAACCCGACUCCGUGAAGUUGGAUUCGCUAGUAAUCGCGCAUCAGCCAUGGCGCGGUGAAUACGUUCCCGGGCCUU
RNAcentral lists this ribosomal RNA (505 nucleotides) under uncultured Sphingobacteriales bacterium. RNAcentral describes it as "bacterial SSU rRNA". It matches the Rfam family "Bacterial small subunit ribosomal RNA", at positions 903 to 1382 of the family's 1533-position model. Lineage: Bacteria; Pseudomonadati; Bacteroidota; Sphingobacteriia; Sphingobacteriales. The record is from RNAcentral.